RNAcentral lists this ribosomal RNA (253 nucleotides) under uncultured bacterium. RNAcentral's name for it is "partial 16S ribosomal RNA". It matches the Rfam family "Bacterial small subunit ribosomal RNA", at positions 524 to 776 of the family's 1533-position model. The record is from RNAcentral.
UACGAACCGUCCAAACGUUACUCGGAAUCACUGGGCUUAAAGGGUGCGUAGGCCGCGCGGAGGGUGGGAUGUGAAAUCCCCCGGCUCAACCGGGGAAUAGCGUCCCAAACCGCCGUGCUCGAGGGAGACAGAGGUGAGCGGAACUGAUGGUGGAGCGGUGAAAUGCGUUGAUAUCAUCAGGAACACCAGUGGCGAAAGCGGCUCACUGGGUCUUUCCUAACGCUGAAGCGCGAAAGCGUGGGGAGCAAACGGG